This 606-nucleotide ribosomal RNA is filed under the name uncultured bacterium. RNAcentral describes it as "bacterial SSU rRNA". It matches the Rfam family "Bacterial small subunit ribosomal RNA", at positions 56 to 656 of the family's 1533-position model. The record is from RNAcentral.
UGCAGUCGAACGGCAGCACGGGAGCAAUCCUGGUGGCGAGUGGCGAACGGGUGAGUAAUAUAUCGGAACGUGCCCAGUCGUGGGGGAUAACGCAGCGAAAGCUGUGCUAAUACCGCAUACGAUCUCUGGAUGAAAGCGGGGGACUCGUAAGAGCCUCGCGCGAUUGGAGCGGCCGAUAUCAGAUUAGCUAGUUGGUGGGGUAAAGGCCCACCAAGGCGACGAUCUGUAGCUGGUCUGAGAGGACGACCAGCCACACUGGAACUGAGACACGGUCCAGACUCCUACGGGAGGCAGCAGUGGGGAAUUUUGGACAAUGGGCGCAAGCCUGAUCCAGCAAUGCCGCGUGCAGGAUGAAGGCCUUCGGGUUGUAAACUGCUUUUGUACGGAACGAAAAGGUCUGCCUUAAUACGGUGGGCCCAUGACGGUACCGUAAGAAUAAGCACCGGCUAACUACGUGCCAGCAGCCGCGGUAAUACGUAGGGUGCGAGCGUUAAUCGGAAUUACUGGGCGUAAAGCGUGCGCAGGCGGUUAUAUAAGACAGAUGUGAAAUCCCCGGGCUCAACCUGGGACCUGCAUUUGUGACUGUAUAGCUAGAGUACGGUAGAG